Molecule: long non-coding RNA, 211 nt
Filed under: Ananas comosus (pineapple)
Lineage: Eukaryota; Viridiplantae; Streptophyta; Magnoliopsida; Poales; Bromeliaceae
Description: long non-coding RNA (ACOM_LNC022869)
Source: RNAcentral
UAACUAUCUUUUUUUUAAGAUGGUAAACGAUUAACCAUCAUUUUUAUUUUUAUUCAAUAUGAUACGGAAAAAAUUAGUUAGUUAAAUAAAAUUUUAAAAAGACUGUUUGAUCGACGAAAUAUUUUUAAAAUUAUUUUUAAAAUUGAUUUUGUCCAACAUGGCACCGCGAGUAAGUAGUGGGUGCUAAAUUAAAUAUGUAGGGAUGAUUCUU